Molecule: ribosomal RNA, 488 nt
Filed under: Ophryotrocha jiaolongi
Lineage: Eukaryota; Metazoa; Annelida; Polychaeta; Eunicida; Dorvilleidae
Description: partial 16S ribosomal RNA
Rfam family: Bacterial large subunit ribosomal RNA
Source: RNAcentral
UCGCCCUGUUUUUACAAAAACAUAGCUUUAUGAUAAUCUAUAUAAAGUGCAUCCUGCCCAGUGAUUUUUAAACGGCCGCUUUUGUGCUAAGGUAGCAUAAUAAUUUGCCUUUUAAUUGGAGGCUAGAAUGAAUGGAUAUCUAAAUUUAUGCUUUAUUGUGAGCAAACCUAAAAAUUAAACUUAACGUGAAAAUUCGUUAUAUAUAAAAAAAGACCAAAAGACCCUGGGAGCUUUAAUUAAAUAAUAACCUUGUAAAAUUAAUUUUUGUUGGGGGGACAAAGAAAAAUCAUUCUUAACCUAAGCUCUAUAUUCCUUUUAUAUACCUACACUAGCUACCCCAGGGAUAACAGGCUACUCUUUUUUGAAAGUCCACAUUUACAAAAAGACAUAGCACCUCGAUGUUGGCUUAAGAGUACGUAAAAUGCAACAGUUUUACCUAAUGGCUUGUUCCGCCAAUAAUUUCUUACGUGAUCUGAUUCCAGACCGGA